AUGGCCCCAAAGGUAACUUCUUUUUUUUUUUUUUUUUUUUUGGCUUGCUCCACAGCUCCCAGGCCAAGGUGCAAUUGCAACCCACCCGGUCCUUUAAGGCGAUGUGCCAGGAGGGGAUUGAACCUGUGUCCCAGCACUCCAGAGAUGCCGCUGAUCCUGUUGCACCAUAGGGGAAACUCCAAAAGCUUUUCUUGGCCCAAGCUGCAGGCUCUCAGAAGCUUGACAAACCAGCAUCGCCAUCUGGAGGACAGCAUGAGAAUCUGGAUUCUCAGCAUCUCUCGGAGCUUUGCCUGAGAAAUACCUCUUUUGCCAUCCUGAGUCCCAAGCCCAUCUCCCAGCGAAGCCUAUUUCCUAGCGCCUGUGGGAGCAGCAGUCUACACAGGCCCUGGGGAUGGUAGAAAGGCCUCACCCGAAGGGGCCCACUUUGGCCAUUGGACCUUGAAGCGGCUAAAGCAAAAAUAGAAAUUGAGACCACUCCAAAGAGGUGAGAUCCCUUCUUUGUGGUUUCCUCCAUGCUGGGCAGCCAGAACCAUUGGGCUAUGGAGAAAUUUGGACUGACAGGAUGCAACGGAAGCUCCCCUAGCCAGAGAAACUGUCCAGCCCUGGCACAGUGCUUCCAUUUCAUCCUGGCAGUGGCCAACUGGGACAGACCAUCACAUAUGGUAUCACAUGACGAUUCCCUGCUACACGCAGAAAGCAACAAUAAUAAAACCAUGAGUACUGCUGUCA
RNAcentral lists this long non-coding RNA (729 nucleotides) under Sus scrofa (pig). Its description in RNAcentral is "lncRNA (ENSSSCG00055012836.1)". The record is from RNAcentral. Lineage: Eukaryota; Metazoa; Chordata; Mammalia; Artiodactyla; Suidae.